AUGGUUUCUUCCUUCAUUCACCUUCUAUUUCUUGCACUUAUGUUCAUUUCUGCCAAUGGAACAAACCUCACACGCCCUAUGAAUUCCCCUCUUUCCUGUGACACAUAUGUUGCAUACUUUGCUCACUUUCCAAAAAUUUUAACCCUCACGAACAUAUCUGAUAUAUUUGACACAACUCCUCAAUCCAUUGCAAGAGCAAGCAAACAUAAAAGAUGA
Non-coding RNA from Vicia faba (fava bean), 216 nucleotides. Lineage: Eukaryota; Viridiplantae; Streptophyta; Magnoliopsida; Fabales; Fabaceae. The record is from the annotation of a GenBank genome assembly.